GAUAAACGCUGGCGGCGCACAUAAGACAUGCAAGUCGAACGGACUUAACCUAUAGUUUACUAUUGGAGCGGUUAGUGGCGGACUGGUGAGUAACGCGUAAGCAAUCUGCCUAUCAGAGGGGAAUAACAGUGAGAAAUCACUGCUAAUACCGCAUAAGCUGUGAGUAUCGCAUGAUACAAGCAGAAAAGGAGCAAUCCGCUGAUAGAUGGGCUUGCGUCUGAUUAGUUAGUUGGUAGGGUAACGGCCUACCAAGACGAUGAUCAGUAGCUGAGCUGAGAGGCUGAUCGGCCACAUUGGGACUGAGACACGGCCCAG
RNAcentral lists this ribosomal RNA (315 nucleotides) under uncultured bacterium. RNAcentral's name for it is "bacterial SSU rRNA". It matches the Rfam family "Bacterial small subunit ribosomal RNA", at positions 28 to 334 of the family's 1533-position model. The record is from RNAcentral.